RNAcentral lists this long non-coding RNA (3294 nucleotides) under Cricetulus griseus (Chinese hamster). Its description in RNAcentral is "lncRNA (ENSCGRG00015041281.1)". Lineage: Eukaryota; Metazoa; Chordata; Mammalia; Rodentia; Cricetidae. The record is from RNAcentral.
CAGGGAUUCUCACAGGAUGACUCUUACGUUUAUGAUCUGAGAGCAAUGACAUCAGCCUCUGUCUUUUUUCCGCUUUUAAUUAAUGUUCUGGAAAGAUGGGGCUGGGGAGGUUGUGAGCAUGGGGAGGGGGCGGGCUGGCGGGUGGAGUGGAACCCGCAGGCCUCUCUGCUCCAGCGGUCAGCUGAGCGCCGGCGCACAGACAUCCUUUGAUUAAGGAGGGUAUUUCGGGGAGUGCAGGCUGUGCAGAAGAUCACGGCUGUGCCCUGUGGUGCUGUCAGCAGUGACAGAUCCCAGAUGGGGCCGCUACUGUGUGGCAGAUUGAGUUUCUCAACAGAAAACUCACCCUUCCUCCUAAACGUCUUCAAAAACCUUCUCCGGAUACUCCAUCUAUCCAGGUCUCGUCGUCGUUUAAAAUAGAAACAGUCCAACCCCGAAGUUGGUUUUGACUGCGUGCCUGUACGCUAGGUUUAUUUUUUUUUUCUCUCCCUUCCUCUUUUGCUCUGUACUUCCUUCUCCUUUUUGCAUCUUCCACUCGCGAGGGCCACUCAUAGCAUAGAUGCGGUGGGUCUUGAGGAUUCCUGUUCACCAGGUUCAGGGCACCAGGUGGCCGAAUCAGCACUGAGGGGCCCCCAAAGGCAAGGCAAUUCGGUGGGUAGAAGCUCGAUGCGGGAUGAGUCUGUGGCGCGUUAGGGGAAGUCAAGGUGGACCCCGUGAGUCACACACUCUGGAACAGAGAAGCGGGGGUGGGGGUGGGGGGGGAGAUAAAGGAGGAAUCUGAAGGUACCUUGUCCCUGCUCCAGACGGCCUGGCUCUUUGGGGAGGCGGCCCGAAGUCCAAGAUAAGGGAGGCUGGCUCUUACCGCUGUGGUAGGAGUCUGUUGGGGAUAGGUGAGAGUCUGUAGGAACCAAGUACCCUUAGGAAGAGGGAGAGAGCUGCGGGGAUCCGAGCUGCGAUCUGAGCGACCUGAGCAGUGAGACCGGACUCGGGCCUUCUGAAGAUGAAACAUCUGAAACCGAGAGAGGAAUCUAGAGAGCGCGUUUUGUUCUGCUUUGCUUUAAUAAUAAGUUGUGUAUCCUUUUAAACACCUUGGCAGUGGCCACCAUCCUUCUCCCACAACUUCUCAGUCUAAGAGACCAUAGGAAUAUCCGGGGGAACUUAAAUACCUGAGAGGCCACACUCAACAUCCAAGAAACUACCCGCUGCCUCUGCAGAGCGGGGACCCUGCCGGCCCACGAGAAAUCGUCACCUUCCUCACCCAGGCAACCUGAUCGCAAGGCCGGGACCCAAGUCAGAGACUCUGUGGGUCGCCUUCCCAUUGAAACCCCGGGACCGGAGAAGUAAUGGUCUUGAUGGAAAUCUGGGGCAAAAAACUGGGAGCCUCUAGCCCCCUCCGCACCGCGGCGGAGUCGGAACCCGGAGCUCUUCUGCAUAACGUCAGCUUGCCGGGUUUGAGCCAGGCAUGGUGUCUAGCCUAAAAUAUGAGCAUUUGGAACAUGGGUACUGGAGGAUCACCAAAAGGUGCUAGCCAGGUUGGUCUUCACAGCAAGUUCCAGACCAGCCAAGACUAUACAGCAAGGCUCUCUUUCCCAAAACAAAACAAAAUGAAAGACAAAAGAUGCACGCUAGAAGAAAAAAAAAAAAGUUUAAAGCAUUGUUUUCCUUCCUGAGUAGUAGUUGCCUAACUCUAACCCCUUUAGAGUUCUGCAAAGGGGCAAAGUGCAUGGCCCACCCAGAGAGGUGUGACUGGGUGUGUGUGGAAGGAAAGGACUCUGAGAGGAAGCUAUUUCUAGGCAAGGAUCUUCUCCAUGGAAAAAAUAAUGUUCACUUCAAAACAUCUGCUAGAAACUGUUAUAUUGUAGUUUAGUCUUUCCCAGUGGCACUAAAGGCCCUUGUUCCUUGGAAUCUACCUUCCCAGUGACUUAACUGGAGCUAUAAGUGGCUUUAAAUUGGCUGGCCCCCUUGUUUGGGAGGAUGAAAGGAAGGACUCACCUAAAAUGCUUUUCUUCUCAUAAAAAUAGCAUUUCCUGGUCAGAUUUCCAAUUUAGGACCCAUUAAACAAAACAAAAAGCAAACUAUAUGUUUUUAAAUCCUAGAUUCUCCGUAGAUAGCAACUAAUACUUCCUCAAUAUGUGACAGAUGCUAAAUAAGCUACACUUAGCAUCUUUCUUGUGUAUCCUGGGGAUUGCUUCUUACUUGGUUUUGUUUGUAAAGAUGGGAUCCACCUGUAAUCUAGACUGUCCUUAAACUAAACAAGUAUUCCUCCUCCUAUGUCCCCAGUGUUGGUAUUACAAAUCUGCACCAUCUCCCCUCAUGAGAUACAUCCCUAACAAAAGGUAGGAUGUUCUUCUGAGUCAAAAUGUGUACAAAAUAGACGGGCAAAACAUUUUUCCAGCUAUCUUCACUGUCAUUCAUUGCUUUUUCAACUUCUCUAAGCUUUCUAAUAUAUGGCAACGCCAAAAGUGAUAUCAUUUCUAUGGUUCUAGCAUUGCAAGUCUCCUGGACUAUGUCUGCUCAGCUGAUGGAAAUGGGUGGGGAUGAGGAAGAUCCUUGGAGGCUUUGGAGAGGUUCACACAAAAUACAAUGUAAUUGUAGUGUAAGAUACCACCCGAUUGCAAUUUAAAUUUUACAACACAGGGGUAUAUGCAGAAAAAAUGAUCACUAAGGCUCCAUAUUUGACACUAUUCUGUGACUGAUACCAAAAAAAUAAAAAGAGGGAGAAAAGAAAGGGGAGAAAGGAAGGCAAUUAGAAAGGCAGAGAUUAUAAAAUUCUUUGGGGUGGGGGUUAAUUUUUUUCAAGACAGGGUUUCUCUGUGAAACAGUCCUGGCUGUCCUGGAACUCACUCUGUAGAGCAGAUUGGCCUCACAGAGAUCCACCUGCCUCUGCCUCCCAAGUGCAGAAAUUAUAAAAUUCUAUCUAGAGUUGUGGAAGUGGCUUUUCGUGUUUUUUGGUGUGGCUCUCCUUCCAACUCAAGUUGAUUUUGGUUCUGUAUUGUUUGGGGGGCUUAGGAUUGAGUCUCAGACCUGUCACAAGCUAAGAACUCUUUCUAUCAAUCUAUCUCUUCUUCCCUCCAAAUUGAAAACAGCUAAAUUGCUAUGUAUCAAAUAAAUCAUGAAUAAAGUGUCUCUUAUUAUAUGAGUAUUUUUUACCACGUUCUCACCUGCAGUUAAUUUGUGCAGGUUCUACAUGGAUAGGCAAAGGAUUAGGUGAUAAUAUUCACUAUAUAAAAUAAUUGAAAUAAAUUCUGAAAUGUAAUAAUCAUGCAUACUUUGGUUUUUUGAGACAGGGUUUCUCUG